Non-coding RNA from Anaerosphaera sp. HMSC064C01, 174 nucleotides. The record is from Rfam. NCBI's taxonomy places the organism in Bacteria, Bacillati, Bacillota, Tissierellia, Tissierellales, Peptoniphilaceae.
UGAUAUUAUAUAGGUGUAAUUUUUGAAUGUUCAAUAUAAAGGGAAGCUGGUGUAAAUCCAGCACAGCCCCCGCUACUGUAAAUAGUGACGAGUCUAUGUAUACCACUGGGAAACUGGGAAGGUUUAGAUGAGGUUGAUCUAUAAGUCAGGAUAUCUUUAGAACGUUCGUAUAAA